RNAcentral lists this ribosomal RNA (653 nucleotides) under uncultured organism. RNAcentral describes it as "bacterial SSU rRNA". It matches the Rfam family "Bacterial small subunit ribosomal RNA", at positions 1 to 663 of the family's 1533-position model. The record is from RNAcentral.
GGCUUAGAGUUUGAUCAUGGCUCAGGACGAACGCUGGCGGCGCGCCUAACACAUGCAAGUCGAACGGAGUUGUGUUGAAAGCUUGCUGGAUAUACAACUUAGUGGCGGACGGGUGAGUAACACGUGAGUAACCUGCCUUUCAGAGUGGAAUAACGUUUGGAAACGAACGCUAAUACCGCAUAACAUGAGAGAACGGCAUCGUUCUUUCAUCAAAGAUUUUAUCGCUGAGAGAUGGGCUCGCGGCCGAUUAGGUAGUUGGUGAGAUAACAGCCCACCAAGCCGACGAUCGGUAGCCGGACUGAGAGGUUGAACGGCCACAUUGGGACUGAGACACGGCCCAGACUCCUACGGGAGGCAGCAGUGGGGGAUAUUGCACAAUGGAGGAAACUCUGAUUCAGCGACGCCGCGUGAGGGAAGACGGUCUUCGGAUUGUAAACCUCUGUCUUUAGGGACGAAAAAAUGACGGUACCUAAGGAGGAAGCCACGGCUAACUACGUGCCAGCAGCCGCGGUAAUACGUAGGUGGCAAGCGUUGUCCGGAAUUACUGGGUGUAAAGGGAGCGUAGGCGGGGAGACAAGUUGAAUGUCUAAACUAUCGGCUCAACUGAUAGUCGCGUUCAAAACUAUCACUCUUGAGUGCAGUAGAGGUAGGCG